UGACGGUUCGCUGUCGGUUUGUUGUUGUUUUUAUUGGCGAACCGUCUGGAGUUUAAUUAGUUUAAUCAGGUGAAUGGAGACUGUAUCUCUAUCAGCGAAAAAGUCCCUGCGUCCAGUCCCUGCGUCCAGUCCAGCCAGCUGUUAAAGGGGAAGACGUGGCAACUCUGGCAGAAACCACAUCCAAAUUCAGUGCAGGAGAUCCUACAUGCAUCACAGGGUCUGCAGGCACUGGCCCGUCUUAAUGUCCCAGAUUUUGACGGUGGAGUCUGCGUUCCCCGAGACCAGGAUGUUGUCCUUCAGCUCCAUCCCGCUGGUCAGAGACUGGUGACCUGUGAGGGUGUGAAUGCAGUUCCCCGUCUCCACGUCCCACACACGGAUCGACGUGUCCAGAGACCCGCUCACCACGUGGAUGCCGUCAAACUACAGAGAACAGUAGCAUUAACAAUCACGUUCAAUACAUACAACUUAGAGAUCAUGUCAAAAUGCAACCAGAGGACUGGUUAGGGCUUCAUAAAAAUUUGAUUCACAAAAACAUUCUCUGUUCUACUAUGAGUCAGAAUACUCCAACACUGGCUGUAAGAAAAGGAUGAAAUUACCAUGAACAAAAACACACCAAAUACUGAGGGCAAAACACAACAAAGGCCAAGUGUGUAUGAGAAUAAUUCUUAAUAAUUCUUUAAUUGCUGUGUAUUUAUCGUGUCCACACAGUCUAGUUUCCUUGGACACUCUAAAAUAAUAACAACCUUAUUUACUCCACUGCAGCGUAACUAAGGUUGUUAUUCCAAAAAAAACGUGCAAUAAAAACUCAUUAUCGAACACACAUUUACAGCGAGGUCUUGUGUUGGAGUGUUCUGUGUUGUGAAAGGGCCUAAUGAACUAACUUUCACUGUGGAGUUUAAUUAUAAUUGAUUACAGCUUUAACUAAACAUGUGAAUUAAAAGACCAACACAGUUUAACAGCACUGAUCUAAUAAGAGCAAUCAAACAGCGGGGCUGUCUAUGAAAAUAAUUCUUAUUUAAAAUGUUAAUGUAUAUUUGGACUUACCUGUGAGGUACUGGACUGAGUUUAAAGUGUUGUUGUAUGUAUUAAGACUUGCAUGGUCUAAUCUUUAGCUAUAUAUUAGUAGGCAGAUGCACCAGCUGAGUGCAAGUCUGAUCGCCGCCUAGUUUGCCCAUUGCACUCCUAAUUUUGCACACUGCUAGUUUUAAACUAAAAGUACGGGUUAGGAUGGUUUUACCUCCCACUGUACAAUCUAACUUACAUUUAUAGCUAGUGUAACUGUAAUUGUCUGCUCUGUUAUCACUUAUCUAUUUAGUCACUGUGUUCACCAAAUCAGUUGUUUAUAGCUGUGCCAAGGUCCCUGCUAAGUUUAAGGGUGCUCGGGGCAGGCUUUCACUUUUUCUUUGUGUUAAAAACAUUUAAGACAAACUUGAAGACUUAUUUAUUUGCCUUGGCGUUCGAAUUUUCUCAGAGAUGUUGUAUUGCUCGUCUUGUAUGCUAUGUCUACCUUUUUAUUCAUUUUAUUAGUCAUAUUUACUGACCAGUAGCUUAGACAAGGGUUAAUUUAGAAUUCAAAUAAUUUUAAAUGUCUAGUUUAGUUUUUUAUUGUACUUUGUUUGACACUUGGUGUCUUUAAAAAGUGCUUUAUAAAUGAAGCUGAAUCGA
Astyanax mexicanus (Mexican tetra) is the source of this 1665-nucleotide long non-coding RNA. RefSeq lists it as uncharacterized. Lineage: Eukaryota; Metazoa; Chordata; Actinopteri; Characiformes; Acestrorhamphidae. The record is from RefSeq and is a predicted model, not a curated record. The transcript has 4 exons.